This 253-nucleotide ribosomal RNA is filed under the name uncultured bacterium. Its description in RNAcentral is "partial 16S ribosomal RNA". It matches the Rfam family "Bacterial small subunit ribosomal RNA", at positions 524 to 776 of the family's 1533-position model. The record is from RNAcentral.
UACGGAGGGUGCAAGCGUUAUCCGGAUUCACUGGGUUUAAAGGGUGCGUAGGUGGCUUUGUAAGUCAGUGGUGAAAUGCUUCCGCUUAACGGAAGAACUGCCAUUGAUACUGCUUAGCUUGAAUCAGGUCGAGGUGGAUGGAAUAUUACAUGUAGCGGUGAAAUGCUUAGAUAUGUAAUAGAACACCGAUUGCGAAGGCAGUUCACUAGGCCUGAAUUGACACUGAGGAACGAAAGCGUGGGGAUCAAACAGG